GGCGGGAUAGCUCAGUUGGUCAGAGCGCACGGCUCAUAAUCGUGAGGUCCCGGGUUCGAGUCCCGGUCCCGCUACAA
RNAcentral lists this transfer RNA (77 nucleotides) under Actinomycetota bacterium. RNAcentral describes it as "tRNA-Met". It matches the Rfam family "tRNA". From Rfam's summary of the family: Transfer RNA (tRNA) molecules are approximately 80 nucleotides in length. Their secondary structure includes four short double-helical elements and three loops (D, anti-codon, and T loops). The record is from RNAcentral. Lineage: Bacteria; Bacillati; Actinomycetota.